CAUGUGAGAAUUCUGAGUGCUUGUAAGAAAACUCCAAGAAAACAAGAGUCUUGCGACCUCAGUUUCUUCAAAACACAGAGCUGUUCUUGGAAUGUGUUUUCGUGCUCCCCCCAGGUGCAGCAGACAGGAUCCCAAAGAGAGGCCAAGGAGUCAAGGACCUCGAUGUAUGAAGAGCCUGCAGAGAGCUCCCUGCCCCCUUAGAAAUCCUGGGACAAACACACAGAAGACAAAAUACACACAUACAAUUCUGCUCAAGGAGGCCACAUAGACCAAGCCUUGAUUGCCAAUUUUUGGAGACGUGGGAAGUCUCAAAAUAUGAUUUCCAGAUUGCUUGUUUUACAGCUUGCUUCUUUGAAGAACGGCGGACAGCUGAAGGCAUACAUACAGUAGCAUCUAUUCCCACCUGGGGUGUCUGCUCCUAUGCUCUGGCCGCCUCCAUCAAAUUCAUGGUGGGUUAAUUCCAUUGUUACGGUAUUCCGAGGUGGGACCUAAUUAGGAUUAGAUGAGAAUGGAGCCCCGUGAUCUUAUUAGCCUUGUUGGAAGGGGAAGGAAACCACAGUGUGCGUGCUGCCUCCAGACCGCAGAGUCCCUGGGAGCCAAGGGCCCUGUCACACGCAGCGCCUGAACCUGAAUGGUAAGAACUAAACUUUCGUUACUUACUAUUCGCCCAGUUUGUGGUGUUCAGGAACAACAGAAAGUGACCUAAAAUACCCAGAAAUCUAACGACGUUCAGCAUCUUCGCCAGAGGAGGAAGAGAGUUGGCGCUCGUUACCUUCACAGUGACUCACCCACCACCCCCAGUUCUUUGAAGUUCCUAAUCAAUGCUGUCACCUUCUGACUUGUCCCAACCAUAGAACAAGAAUACAGUGAGCUUUUCUGGUAACUGGGGACACACUUCUCCACUGGGGAGUUUGGAUCCUCUCAACGUUCUCUUAAGUGGGCAUGGAUUCUUUCUUCUGGCUUCCUCCACUGGUCCUAUCCUCCCUCUUGGAGUUAGGUGGCAUGGCCUUCCUCCUCCUUGCAUUCAGCCAGUCCAGUAUUAUUUAGAGAGAGGAUCGUCAGUCAUUAUCGUGGUGUAUGUGGGGCUGGGGCUCAGGGAGCAGGAUGCCAACCUAGCGUGCACAGAACCAUCCCUAGCAGUGUAUAUGCUGGGCACGUGGCACAGGAGGCACGGUACUCAGGAGGCAGAGGCAGGGGGAUCAGAAGUUCAAGGACAUCCUCGGUUACAUAGUGAGUUCAAGGCCAGUGUGGGAUGCACUAGACCCUGUCUCAAAACAAACAAACAGACAAACAACAACAACAAGAAAACCACCACCAACAACAACAACAGAAAACCCAUUCAAAGAAAAACUAAAAACCCCCAAAUCCCAAGAAACUCACUGACUAUUGCCACACCAUCCCUUCAGCUAUGGUGGCUGCCUUCCUUAUGAAUCUUGGAGCAUGGAGAGACAGAGGAAGCGGGGUACACUGAGGGCAUCACACAAUGUUCAGACUUCAAGGGAAUACUCAACUAUUUUCUCCUCCUCCCAUUCAUCUAGCUGGGCAACCUCUGGGCUCAGUGUAGCCAGUACUUCGAACCUCCUUUCCAGACUUUUCUUAUUUUGACUGUUCUAUUCUGCACACACCACAGUUUAUUACCUGGCUAAUUGGUACUAUCCCUGGCAUCAAAAACAAUAGCACUAUCAGGACUCCGUGGACAGGUGGCAAUCACACCACCAUUUCUUGGGGCUGGAAUUCUAUCACAUUAUCAUGCCCAUAAAACAAGACAUGAACAAAGCACCCGGAAGGGUGUAACAUGUUACCUACCAUUGUUCUUCUCCUUGAUGUGGUCCGAGCCUCAUCAGCUCUUUUGUUUGAAGCUAAAUGACGACACUACCACUUCCACUGGCGUGGGAUCUCAGUCACCCCUAUUCUCAUCUUGCUAUGUGUUUCUUUCUCUUGAACUUAGGCAGGAGUGAAAAAUACAGCGCAGACACAGGACUUUGUGUCUAUGUUAAGUUAUUUCCUCUGGUUCUCGGUCCAACCUCCAGUCUAACCAGACCAUCAUUCUGUGACCUUCGUUACAGCUCUCCCAUCAUUUGGGGAUUAAGUUAUAUAACGGCAAACCCAGGGAUCAAGUCUCCCCUCGGUCAGACAUGGUAUAGUGGUAACCUUAGCAUGGAGGUGCUGUACUGAUGCAGGAUCUUCAGGACCCUGCUCCUACCGGCCCACUUGCAGUUUAAGGUAGCGUCACAGAGCUUUAGAUGAGAUGGACCUAAGAGAACAUGCCCUCACCUUGGAGCAGGAUGGAAAUCCAGGUCUGCAGACCUCAAUUCUGUGGAUUUUGUGGUUUUUUUGAGGGGGGGGUUGUUUGUUUUUGUUUUUGUCAAAACAGAAGACACUACGCUAAGUUCACAUUGAAUUUUCUAAAUGAUUUCCUGACAACUUCUAUCAGAAAAGUAAUAAAAGAAUCUAUCUUUAGUCAGCUUUAUUAUUUGUGCAUGGGUGUCAAUCACUGGCUCUAGUUUCCAGGGACUAGAGAGAAGUGCCUCAAUAUGUAGUUUUCACUGUAUACCCUUCUGUCUUUGGGAAAGUGGUGUGGCAUUUGUCUUUGCCUUUCAUGGGACAGAAUCUCCUGUUUUCUACAUGGAUCAGAGUGACUUCUGAAUGAUAUCUAGAGAAUUUCCAACAACUUGGACUCAAAUGUGUGUGAAUUUUCAAAGGCCAUUAAGUUCUCCAUUGCCGUACCUUAGACAUGGUGGGACGUUAGCAUGUUUCCCCAUAUUUAAUUUAGGACCUGAUCGAGUUCGAUACUCUGUUGCUGUGAUAAACACUGACCAAAACUAAGCCCAGGAGGCAAGAAUUUACUUGGCUUACAUAUCCCAGAUCACAGUCCAUCACUGUGAGAAUUCGGAAGCAGGAACUCAAGUUAGGAACCUGGAAGUAGGAACUGAAUCAGAGGCAAGGGAGGGUUGCUGCUUACUGGCUUGCUCCCCAAGGCUUGCUCAGCCUGCCUUCUUAUACAGUUCAGACCAUCUGCUUAUGGGUGGUACCACCCACAAAGUGCUAGGUCCUCCUACAUCAACCAUCAGUCUAGACAAUACCCCACAGAGCAGCCCACAGGCCAAUCUGAUGGAGGCAAUUUCUCUAUUGUGGGUUCUCCUUCCCAGGUACCUCGAGUUUAAGUCAAGUUUAUAAACACUAACCAGCAGAAAGCCACUAGCAGUACGGAAAAGAAGAAAAUGUCCAGAAUGGCAGAGUCCUACUGAACUAUACUUCCUACAUUUCAUUCUGUUCCUGUUUGUUGUUUUUUUUUUUUUUUUUUUUUUUGGUUUUUCGAGACAGGGUUUCUCUGUGUAGCUUUGCGCCUUUCCUGGAUCUCACUCUGUAGACCAGGCUGGCCUCGAACUCACAGAUAUUCGCCUGGCUCUGCUGUUUUGCUUUUUCACAUCACAUCAUGUUCUCAGCUGCAGCUUCCCAGAGCCAGGCUUGUAGGUCGGAGGUGUUCUUUGCACAGUUCCUCCUGGGCGUGGCUACACAGUGCCUUUGUCUCUGUGUACAACCCCCUUAGCGCAUGCGCAUCCUGGCCUCUCUGCUGCUGUCACCAUGACUUGGAAACAAGAGCCCCUUUCCCUUCUCAAUGUGUUUAAUGAUCUGUUGCGAGUUUAUCUUGGAAAGUGUUCUUAUUGGUUCACCCUUCCUAGGCUAUUGCUAAUUAGGAAUUUAGGCUCUGGCCCACUGUGCCAAAACUUGUCUGCACUUCAGAAUGGGCUUUCCUCAACUCUGUGCCUGGAACUGUCCCCUUUCCUGCAUCUCUUCCUAGAUCCAAUAGCUACUUCCCUUCCUGGUUGGAGUAACUUCCAUAGCACUUCCAUUUAUUCAUCGUUGAUUGAAAUAUCUCUUCCCUUCUGAGAAGUAGUAAUAGUCACAGCGACCCUUGGCCAGACUUCCUCGGGCACCAGGCUGGCCUUCACCUACCCUGUCUCUUAGGAUCCUAGCGGUGAGGGAGAUACCACUGCUGCCCCAGCGGGUGGUGGAGGCGCUGGCUCAAGGUCAUUGCACAGAUGUAGCCGGAGGUUGCCAAUGCCGGCGCUGGAUGCCAGGUUCCACCCUAGAGAUGAGGUGGUGAAGCUGAUGCUGAUUUACAGCAAAAUUCAGCUUGCAGCUGUUGUUUGAAUAAUUGGAUCUCCCACUGCCGUUCUAUCUUAUAAGGGCUUAGACAUUAGUGUUAUGAAAUCCCGUCUCUAGGCCAGAUUUGUUUAAAAACAACCCACAAAACCAAAGAACUAGACCACCAGCACUCUCCUUGACAAAUAGGCACCUUUCUUCCUUGCCAGCAGCCUUAAGUGUCCUCUGUCUGUCUGUCUGUCUGUCUGCAGCCAUAUCCUGCUAGGAGUGUUCACCGUUGCUGCCUCCCUAGAAGAGCAGUCCUCCUCUGUUCUUGGUAGACUGUCCUCUUACAUUCUCUAUCCGGUGUAAAGUGGGGCAAACAGGAGACAUGGGAGGAUUCUGAGGUGUUUGACACUGAGGUCUCUACCCACCCUUGGGCUCUGAGACAGAGGGAUUUAAAUCCUGGCUCUCUUGUAAGACUGCUGUGUGAUUCUGGCUUGGUUCUUAAUCUCUCUGAGCUUUAAGCAGUCAACUAGAAAAUGAAGGUGGGGAAUGAUGGAGUUUUGGUGGGGGCAGAGGCAACCCCUAACUCCUGCAUGAUUUGACCUCCCCCUGCUCCCUGCCAUUGGCUGGAGCAGUUUAAUGCCGCCGCCGCCGCCGCUCCUCUGCACACCUGCCUCCUAGCCCCAGUCUCUACUUCCUUCAGAACUCCGCGAAGAUGCAAGGCUUGCUGUACUGAGUCUAAGAAAGUGGAGCCGGGAGUGGAGCACUUGAGGGCCUAACUGGAACACAGGACAUGGCCUGUUCCCCAGCUAAAUCCUCCGUGCUCCAUGACGUCACCCCCACCCCCCCACCCCCACCCCCGUGACUGCAGGGAGAGCCUAGAGGCCCUUUCCUGACGCCCUGAACUAGGCUGGGGUUCUCAGGCUCGGCUCCUGAGCCCUGGUUGGGGCUGCACCGCCCCAGCAUUUACAGCUAGUCAUGCUGCUCAGAAUCGGCGCAGGGGCAGGUACUGCAGGGGCCACCGAGGCCUGCUCAGCUCCUGCCCUGUGACCCCAGGCCCCACAGUUCUGACUUCCUCAGAGCGGGAUGGUUCUGGGGAGAAGGUCGUUGUGACUAGGUUAGGAGGCCACAGGCCUUGCUGAGCAAAUUACUAAAGAGCUCAGGAUUAGUGGUGUUCUCCCUCCACCCCGCUUUGGGUCUCUGCAAUUCUGGGCUGAACCUAGACUCUCCCAGCUCUCGUCUUCGCUGAGGGGGUUGACAGCAUCAGAGGGGAGGGAGGCAGAGCAUCAUGCACCCUGCAGCAGGGCCCCCUCGGUAACCUGAAAAGGUAGAGGGGAGGCCUCCUGCAUUCAAGCCCCGUCAACCCUUUCCUGCAGGUCCUCGGGGACAGAGAAUCUAUUUAUUUGGCGACCUCUUUCAGUUUUUAGGCUGCGUUAUCCCUAACCUGGAUUCUCCACACCACCCGCAGGCAAGUUUUUCUCUAGUUUGGUAGCAGAUUGUUUUUCUCUCGAAGCUCCACCCACCACUGGGCUGGGUCUGCUUGGGGAGUUAGGAGGUGGAGCUCAGCCCUGAAGAGCUCUGGGGGCUCCUCCCGGCUCUCAUCUUCCGGCUCCCCGGGUUUCCAGGGUACUCUGCCGCUGCAUUAUUCUGAUAUGUCCCCCCUUCACUUCGUUUUAAUCUUUUUAUUAUGGGUAUUUCUAAAGGUGCAGGAAAAUAGAGAGAAAAUAACACCCAGCACAGAGGUUAUAUCUGGCAUGCAUGUCGAAUUGUUUGUUCUACAGCAGACCCGGAUUUUCUCUUUCCGUCCGUAAAUACUGUGUAUCUUUAAAAUUACUUCCGUCAUCAACACUCUUCAAUGGCAAUCAUAAUUCCUUAACUUUCUCAACAGUCCCCUUUUCUCUAAUUACCAGUUUGUCUGAAGGUGUGACUGCUUUUAGUUGAGAGAUCUCAGGUUGGUUUGUUUGUUUGGGGGGUGGGGUUAAUCCUUUUUGGAGGCAGGGUCUGAGGAGGAUACUGAGCCUCUUCCCAGCGAGUGACCAAAUCCAGGAGGGAGCUCCUGCUGAGGGAGAAACACUGGGCCGUAUCUAUAGAAAAGGUCUUUCAGUUACAGCGCAGAAGGAGAGGGCUGAGGUCGAGGUGGACCGCAUCCUGACCUUUGACUGGGUUCCUCACCGCUUCAGACCAAGCCUGAAGGGCAGGGGGUGGGGAACUGACAUAAGCCUGGGCACCCCUCCCCUCCUCUGCCUCUCUUUUGAGGGAACAGGAUACCAACAAGAGUCAAGCAGAGCGAGCGAGCUCCGGUAGAUCACCCUGUGUAGUCCCAAGGUCUUGUGGAGCCCGGGAGAAGACAGCCAGUGGCGGCAGGAGGGCAGGGGUCCUUGCGGAUUUGGCUUGGCCGCCGAGAGGGCAUUUCAGGGUUCUGGGAAGACCGGCCCCUAACUGGUCUGCCCUCUUUGGUUUGGCAAGAAGAUAAUAGCUGAGGUUGAUAGUUAGCUGGGUCCCGGUAACUGCCUGUUGUAGAGACUACAUUGUUCUGUGUGGCCAAAGACAAAGAGUUGGGGGUCUGUUUACCGCCCCGUUUAUGUCUGAUACAUCCCAACCUGCCUGAGACGCAGUGGCUCCUCACAACUCUUCCAAGUGUCUAGCAGGUAAGUAGUUCUCUGCCUUUCAUUGCUUUGAUUUCCCCAAGGGACACGAAGCUCAACAGAAGGGAAGAACAGUGUCCCACACGGCUCUGUGUCUUCCACAGACCCAGGACUAUCUAACCCAUAUCGGGUGUUCAAUAUAACUACCUGUGAAUCGAAAGCCGAGAAUUUGUGGAGAAAUCCUUGUUUCCUAAAAGGGAAAACAAGCUGUUCCAUGGAGACCACUGACAGAAUCUUCCUAGAUGGAUCUGCCCAACCUCCUUAGAUGAAUACAGUGAUGGCUAAAUAAAGUGGACUCAAUGCCCAGGACAGGGAGAGAUGUGAAUGUUAAUCCUAGUCUGCAGGAAGUAUUCCUCUGUUCAUAGCUAAAGUACCACCCUCCACACCCCCCCCCCCAACAGGAAGAGGCAUGGGAGGCUGGCUGCUGAGGCAGAGAAGACAGAAGCACUCACUCAUUCAUCAAGCAUCUAUGCUAGAGCUAAGGAUGGAGUGGAAAUAGGACAUGACCCAGUUCCCCAGGUGCUUUCUCAGUCAGUGUUGGAGACAGGUGCUGCUAACCGCUCACCAGCAAGGCCUCCAGAAAAAACAAAACCAAAGAGCAAGCAAUUGUGUUCUAAGGUAGGAACGCUCUGACUAUAGCCAAUCACAAGCUACAACAGCAUCAACAGAAAGAGUCGGGAAGAGAGGCACCAGCAGGCAGGCCGGCUUUGAUAACUGAUGGGCAGAGACAAAAAGACCCAGAAGGAAGCUCAUACCCUUCUAUCGCAGGGCCUAUGGCUGAAUUAGAGAAUUCACUCUGCAUGUAAGAAAAGUAGCCAGGGAAAUCACUGUAUUUGCUUUCUCUAGAGAAGAACAAGAGUGAGUGCUUUCAGAGUUAAUGUCUGCUACGUACUGUGAGGGAAGAAACCAUGCUAUAUUGAGUGGAGAGAGUGGUCUUGGAAGACAGUCUACCUGUCUGCACACAAAAAUGGGUCUGGUGUGUAGGUAAAUCUUACAGGCAAUAGCUUGCCCUGUGUUCAGAGAGGCUAUUUGAUAUGAUUUUAGGAGCUGAUAUCUGUCGUGGGCAGUAAGAUAAUAACAUCCACAUAUAAUAAUGCACAUCAUUUUUAGCAACUUUAUGAACCAGGCGCAUCAAAUAUUUUAUAUCUAAUCCAUUUAACUCUGCCAUGUCAGUAUUUAUAUGCUCAUUACGCACACGAGGAAACACUGACGUGAAACUAAGGAAGGUCUUUCUCUUCCAAACUUCUCUUUAGUGCUUGUCUUCUCUCAACUGCCAGGUUUCUUGUAUGAGAUGCAAGUGGCAAGACCCAGAAGCCAGAGCAAUGUAAAGAGCUUGUGCGCGAGAUCUGCUCGUGCUGUGCUGGUACCUCUGAGACAACGUGGAGCGUCUGUUCUAACAAGAGCAGUCGGUGGGGAGAUGGUUCUGGGGUUAAGAGCACUUGACGCUGUCACAGAGGACCUGGGCUGGGUUCCCAGCACUCACCGAGCAAUUCACAACUGUCUGCAAUUUCAGUUCCAAGGGACUGAUACCCUCUUCCGGCCUCCAGGAAUACUGUACACAUAUGUCUGUACACAGACAUACAUGCAGGCAAAACCUCAUACACAUAAAAUUAAAAACAAAAACAAAAAAACAAGUCUUUAAAAAAAGUAGAAUUAUGGAUCGAUAAAUGGAGGUAUAUAGGAACUGGGACUGUACAGCUCGUUGUGAAUUAAUGUGAUACUAUGUAAAAGAUACAUCAUUAGCCUUAUGAAAGACAGUCACACAGAAGAGUGAGGAGGAUAAUAAUAUGCCUGCAACGAGGACUUCAUUCAUGCAUCCACAGAUACUGUGUAUUUCUUUUAUUCCAAGCAAUGUGCCAAAUGCCAACUAGGGAAUCAAUCGCAGGGAACAGGACACACAACUCUUGUGCAGUAUCAGGGAGCAUGUUCUGAAUGUCCAUGCUAUCUAGACAUGAACGGGCUUCUUGAGGGCUCCCUACCCUUCCAGUAAUCAGGAGGAGGUCAAAGCCUCACUUACUAGAAUAUGCUAGGAUUCACUCUUUUGUUGAGUGUGUAAGUUAAAAUAAAAUCCCUUCUGGUUCAGA
Long non-coding RNA from Peromyscus californicus insignis, 8821 nucleotides. RefSeq lists it as uncharacterized. NCBI's taxonomy places the organism in Eukaryota, Metazoa, Chordata, Mammalia, Rodentia, Cricetidae. The transcript has 3 exons. The record is from RefSeq and is a predicted model, not a curated record.